RNAcentral lists this ribosomal RNA (403 nucleotides) under uncultured bacterium. Its description in RNAcentral is "partial 16S ribosomal RNA". It matches the Rfam family "Bacterial small subunit ribosomal RNA", at positions 30 to 526 of the family's 1533-position model. The record is from RNAcentral.
AUUGAACGCUGGCGGCGUGCCUAAUACAUGCAAGUCGAACGCAGUGGGGAUGGGUGAGUAACACGUGGGUAACCUCCCAUCAGAGGGGAUAACACUUGGAAACAGGUGCUAAACCGAUACUGAUGUAUGGACUCGCGGUGCAUUAGCUAGUUGGUGGGGUAACGGCUCACCAAGGCCACGAUGCAUCGCCGGCCUGAGAGGAUGAUCGGCCACACUGGGACUGGGACACGGCCCAGACUCCUACGGGAGGCAGCAGUAGGGAAUCUUCGACAAUGGACGAAAGUCUGACGCAGCAACGCCGCGUGUAUGAAGAAGGUCUUCGGAUCGUAAAGCUCUGUUGUUGGAGAAGCGGUAGCUAACCAGGAAGCCACGGCUAACUACGUGCCAGCAGCCGCGGUAAUAC